RNAcentral lists this transfer RNA (85 nucleotides) under Felis catus (domestic cat). It matches the Rfam family "tRNA". From Rfam's summary of the family: Transfer RNA (tRNA) molecules are approximately 80 nucleotides in length. Their secondary structure includes four short double-helical elements and three loops (D, anti-codon, and T loops). Lineage: Eukaryota; Metazoa; Chordata; Mammalia; Carnivora; Felidae. The record is from Rfam by way of RNAcentral.
GCCUGGGUGGCUCAGUUGGUUGAGCAUCUGACUUCAGCUCAGGUCAUGAUCUUGCAGUUUGUGAGUUUGAGCCUCACAUCAGACU